This is a long non-coding RNA of Brassica oleracea var. oleracea, 1418 nucleotides long. RefSeq lists it as uncharacterized. The transcript is spliced from 5 exons. NCBI's taxonomy places the organism in Eukaryota, Viridiplantae, Streptophyta, Magnoliopsida, Brassicales, Brassicaceae. The record is from RefSeq and is a predicted model, not a curated record.
CGGUGCGAGACAGAACCAGAGUUAUAGAGAGUUGUUUCGGCUUCUUGCUAACGAUUUAUACCAUUUACAGAUUCCCCAUCUUAAAGUCAUUCUUAAAUCAGCACCCACUAUCUAUCUUGAAUGCGAGCUUCUUCAUGCGAGGUGGUGGAACUUUGAAUAUAAAAGACCGGACGAUGCUCCUCCACCGUUCAAGUCCGGUUGCUCCGAUUCUGGGAGGCCAGGAACGUCAGGCGCGGCGGCGAACUCAUGGGAGUCGAUAUAUUGCUGCUUGAUUCCCAGUACCGGCAGCGUUCUGCAGCAGAAGACGCCAUUCUAGAUAUCAGUCAUGAGUUUGACUUGGUGGAACAAAGGUAAAUAUCCCUGAAGCUCUAAGUAGUAUGCCUAAGAUAUUUGAUCCCUCUGCAUCUUACUAGAAAGGAGCAAGAAAACAUGUAUUUGCGUUUUGACUCGAGUUAUAUCGGAGACAGCAGAUGGAGAACGGAUGUUUUGCAUUUCUCAAAGUGUUUUUUUUUUUUUGAAAAAAUCAUCUCACCCCAUAUCUACGUUCGUAAGCCAAUCUUUCCCUCUAAAAUUCGAGAGUUUUUUUUUGAAAAAAAGUCAUCUCACCCCAUAUCUAUGUUCAUAAUACAAGCAUAUGCAUCAUUUAUUCCAUUCCAAGAGACGUGUACUCUAUUUAUUAUCUCCUUUUGGUGACUUUAAUCUUAUAAGUUCUGUUUCAGAUUGAUGAUUCAGACACUCGGUAAAUAAAUUUGUUUUAGUUUGAAUAGUUUAUCUUUAAGUUAGUUACUGCUUUCAAGGUCAAGAGAGUCUCUACACUUUUUAUUCAUAUGCUUUCUGCAGCAAAAGCUCAUGCAGCACUUCGACCGUCAAGAUAUGUGCUUUGUAUUUUUAGGCCAUGGGUUUUCUGCAAGUACUCCUCUACACAACAGCAUCACGAAUUGAGGAUUUAUAGGAAUUCUGCCUGGAACAUGGAAGACCUUGACAGUACACUGAGGCUGAAAGCUAGCUUCAAUUUGUAGAAAGAACGCUGGGGUAGAAACAUCUGCCUCCCAUUGCACCAACUACACACGUGAUACAAUGGUUGAUUCUUUAAACACCUUCGUCUGAGAAAAUGGUGCCGGAAACAUGUUCCUAGAGCUCAAUUUAUUGAUCUCAAGCCCACUGUUAUCAAUGAAGAGUGUAGGGGAAUUUACCGUCAGCUUUUCCAUCCUGAGCAGCUAACAUCUGUGAACAACUUGGCCGAAGACAAUUAUACUGGUGAGGAAACCAUUUCAUUACUAAUUUUUCAAAUGGUAAUUAGAAGUUAUGUUGUUGCAGUUUGUAUAUAAGAUUUGAAAUCUUUGUCAAACAUUAUAUUGUAAUUUUAUCGAAUACUAAACAGCUGUAUGUAAUAUAUAAAGUGAGACCAUGGCCUGCAA